AACGCUAGCUACAGGCUUAACACAUGCAAGUCGAGGGGCAGCAUGGUCUUAGCUUGCUAAGACUGAUGGCGACCGGCGCACGGGUGAGUAACACGUAUCCAACCUGCCGUCUACUCUUGGACAGCCUUCUGAAAGGAAGAUUAAUACAAGAUGGCAUCAUGAGUCCGCAUGUUCACAUGAUUAAAGGUAUUCCGGUAGACGAUGGGGAUGCGUUCCAUUAGAUAGUAGGCGGGGUAACGGCCCACCUAGUCUUCGAUGGAUAGGGGUUCUGAGAGGAAGAUCCCCCACAUUGGAACUGAGACACGGUCCAAACUCCUACGGGAGGCAGCAGUGAGGAAUAUUGGUCAAUGGGCGAGAGCCUGAACCAGCCAAGUAGCGUGAAGGAUGACUGCCCUAUGGGUUGUAAACUUCUUUUAUAAAGGAAUAAAGUCGGGUAUGCAUACCCGUUUGCAUGUACUUUAUGAAUAAGGAUCGGCUAACUCCGUGCCAGCAGCCGCGGUAAUACGGAGGAUCCGAGCGUUAUCCGGAUUUAUUGGGUUUAAAGGGAGCGUAGAUGGAUGUUUAAGUCAGUUGUGAAAGUUUGCGGCUCAACCGUAAAAUUGCAGUUGAUACUGGAUAUCUUGAGUGCAGUUGAGGCAGGCGGAAUUCGUGGUGUAGCGGUGAAAUGCUUAGAUAUCACGAAGAACUCCGAUUGCGAAGGCAGCCUGCUAAGCUGCAACUGACAUUGAGGCUCGAAAGUGUGGGUAUCAAACAGGAUUAGAUACCCUGGUAGUCCACACGGUAAACGAUGAAUACUCGCUGUUUGCGAUAUACGGCAAGCGGCCAAGCGAAAGCGUUAAGUAUUCCACCUGGGGAGUACGCCGGCAACGGUGAAACUCAAAGGAAUUGACGGGGGCCCGCACAAGCGGAGGAACAUGUGGUUUAAUUCGAUGAUACGCGAGGAACCUUACCCGGGCUUAAAUUGCAGAUGAAUUACGGUGAAAGCCGUAAGCCGCAAGGCAUCUGUGAAGGUGCUGCAUGGUUGUCGUCAGCUCGUGCCGUGAGGUGUCGGCUUAAGUGCCAUAACGAGCGCAACCCUUGUUGUCAGUUACUAACAGGUUCCGCUGAGGACUCUGACAAGACUGCCAUCGUAAGAUGUGAGGAAGGUGGGGAUGACGUCAAAUCAGCACGGCCCUUACGUCCGGGGCUACACACGUGUUACAAUGGGGGGUACAGAGGGCCGCUACCACGCGAGUGGAUGCCAAUCCCCAAAACCUCUCUCAGUUCGGACUGGAGUCUGCAACCCGACUCCACGAAGCUGGAUUCGCUAGUAAUCGCGCAUCAGCCGCGGCGCGGUGAAUACGUUCCCGGGCCUUGUACACACCGCCCGUCAAGCCAUGGGAGCCGGGGGUACCUGAAGUGCGUAACCGCGAGGAGCGCCCUAGGGUAAAACUGGUGACUGGGGCUAAGUC
RNAcentral lists this ribosomal RNA (1451 nucleotides) under uncultured organism. Its description in RNAcentral is "SSU rRNA". It matches the Rfam family "Bacterial small subunit ribosomal RNA". The record is from RNAcentral.